AUUGAACGCUGGCGGCAGGCCUAACACAUGCAAGUCGAGCGGAUGAAGGGAGCUUGCUCCUGGAUUCAGCGGCGGACGGGUGAGUAAUGCCUAGGAAUCUGCCUGGUAGUGGGGGAUAACGUCCGGAAACGGGCGCUAAUACCGCAUACGUCCUGAGGGAGAAAGUGGGGGAUCUUCGGACCUCACGCUAUCAGAUGAGCCUAGGUCGGAUUAGCUAGUUGGUGGGGUAAAGGCCUACCAAGGCGACGAUCCGUAACUGGUCUGAGAGGAUGAACAGUCACAUUGGAACUGAGACGCGUCCCAGACUCUUGCGGUGAGAAGCAGUGGGGAAUAUUGGACAAUGGACGAGAGCCUGAUCCAGCCAUGCCGCGGGAGUGAAGAAGGUCUUCGGAUUGUAAAGCAAUUUAAGUUGGGAGGAAGGACAGUAAGUUAAUACCUGACUGUAUUGACGUUACCAACAGAAUAAGCACCGGCUAACUUCGUG
This 484-nucleotide ribosomal RNA is filed under the name uncultured bacterium. RNAcentral's name for it is "partial 16S ribosomal RNA". It matches the Rfam family "Bacterial small subunit ribosomal RNA", at positions 30 to 507 of the family's 1533-position model. The record is from RNAcentral.